UGCGACCCCAGGUCAGGNCGGGACUACCCGCUGAGUUUAA
RNAcentral lists this ribosomal RNA (40 nucleotides) under Amaranthus hybridus (smooth pigweed). RNAcentral's name for it is "partial 26S ribosomal RNA". RNAcentral also lists the same sequence under 57 other names. Lineage: Eukaryota; Viridiplantae; Streptophyta; Magnoliopsida; Caryophyllales; Amaranthaceae. The record is from RNAcentral.